GCGAGUCCUAAAAGAGUAUUAAGGACUCCCAAAGCAAGUCCUUAAAAUUAUUAUAUAAAACACUUAAAAAAGCUAUCAAAUUUUUUGAAAUUUUCGGGUUAACACAAUAGAGCACUAUCAGCAAUACAUUUGGGGAUUUAUUCAAAAUCACAACAUUUAGGGCUGGUAGAAAGGUGAACGGCGGCUGUAGGGGAACGGCAGUGACGGUGGUGAACGGCGUCGACGGUAGGUGGGUUCUCGGCUUCAGCAGUCUCGCCGACGGCGUGCUUCUUGGCGUGGGGUGCUGGCUGCUCACGGUUCCGUCUCUCGGCGUGCUUCGGUGAUUUCCAGAAACGAUUAGAUUAAAGAGAGAUUAACCAGUUUACCAAAAAAAAAAAUGAAGAGUGCUCAUUUCCUUCUCACACUUGCCAUAUUUACUUUGGCAUCUUCCAUUGCCUCUGCCUAUGAUCCUAGUCCUCUUCAAGACUUCUGUGUGGCAGUAGAUGAACCCCACAAAGCUUUGUUUGUGAAUGGGAAGUUUUGCAAGGAUCCAAAGGAAGUCAAUGCGGAUGAUUUCUUUACUUCAGGGCUCAACAUUGCAAGAAACACUGAUAAUCCAGUUGGUUCCAAAGUAAUAGCUGUUGAUACAAGUGUGACUUGUAAAAGAAUAUACAAGUUAAUAUUUUGAAUGGUUUUAAAGCAUUGGAUUGGUAGCUAAUUGCAAGAGUGUCGUAAACAACCAAACAAUAUCGACUGCGGAUAUUACGUUAUGAGGAUGAUGAAGAAUGUACUUAUCAAUGCCCCUCAUAUCAAACAUUUCUUGUCGAAACAGUUCACCUCCGACAAACCAUAUACUACUCAAGAAAUUGAUGAAGUUAGAGAAGAAUGGGCAAUGUCAUUUUUACAAUUGGUUAGAGCAAAAUGAAUGAUGUUAUAGCUAGCUAAUUACAAUACAUGUUUAGAAAUUUUAAAUUUAUAUUUCGUAAAAAAUUUUUGCCAUUUUUUUAGUAUUUUCUUUUCAAAUUUCUUUUGAUAGAUAUUCGACACUCAAAUGGAUAUAUAUUUUUUUAAAUCAAAAUU
Molecule: long non-coding RNA, 1059 nt
Organism: Humulus lupulus (European hop)
Lineage: Eukaryota; Viridiplantae; Streptophyta; Magnoliopsida; Rosales; Cannabaceae
Exons: 6
Source: RefSeq, a predicted model, not a curated record